This 36-nucleotide ribosomal RNA is filed under the name Prospero autumnale (starry hyacinth). The record is from RNAcentral. RNAcentral also lists the same sequence under 2 other names. Lineage: Eukaryota; Viridiplantae; Streptophyta; Magnoliopsida; Asparagales; Asparagaceae.
GGGUGCGAUCAUACCAGCACUAAAGCACCGAAUUCC